Molecule: long non-coding RNA, 2011 nt
Organism: Coregonus clupeaformis (lake whitefish)
Lineage: Eukaryota; Metazoa; Chordata; Actinopteri; Salmoniformes; Salmonidae
Exons: 3
Source: RefSeq, a predicted model, not a curated record
UGAGACAGAGAUCCACUUCAUCCUUCCAACAGGCAAGCAAGUCCAGUGGAAUUGUACCCUUCCAGUGUCCUACUGCAAAGCAGACCUUGAUGAAUCUUCGGAUGCUGCAGACUAUCUUCCAGACUCAUGUGGCAAUUCCUCGGAUGCUUCUAUUAUAAGUACUACAAGUUCUUGUAGUAAGGAAUAUAAAACCACAGAAAAGAAUCUCCACCACAAAUUGUCAGAGAACAAACCAUUAGGGAAUGUUACAGCACACAGUGGGGAUAGUACCACCAGUUCAGAGAAGCCAAGAACAUUAAGUUAUUCAAAGAUGCGCAGCAAUCCUUGUACUUCAGUAAUAAGCUGCAGUGCCAAUUCAUCAGAGAACACAUCACACCAGAAAAGCUCCAUAAAUGUCACACCUUUGUCAAUAACAGCAAAAGGAAGCAAGUACAACAAGAAGCAAUUUUGUCUUUAUUGUAAAAAGGCCAUUUAUAAAUUGGCAAGACACCUCGAAUCCAUCCACAGUGAAAAGCCUGAUGUUGCAAUGGCUUUCAGUUUUAAUAAAGGAUCCCGCAAAAGAAGAGAGUUGUUACGCUCUCUUAAGAAGAGAUGAAACUUUGACCAUAAUACUGAAGUGGCAAGCUGUGGCACUGGAGAGAUGGUUGCCUGUAAAAGACCUAGUAAUGCAAAACCAUCUGAUGACUACCGUGACUGCAAAUUUUGCGAAGGACUGUAUGCAAGAAAUUCCCUAUGGAGACAUGUGAGAAACUGCCCGAAGAAGUCUGUUGAGGGAGAGCCUCAAGUUGGGCGAAAACGGAUUCAACUGCACUUACCAAGACCUGACUCAGUUAAGAAAACUGUUUGGAAGAUUGCUUGUGAAAUGAACCAGGAUGACGUUUCCUCGGUUGUAAGGAGUGAAACUGAAUUCCUUUGUAUCGGCGAGUCACUGUUGAAUUCCAGGAAACCAUAUGAGAGAAGGAAUGACUACAUACGCCAAAAAAUUAGAGUGAUGGCAAGACUAUUGAUAACGGCAAGGGCUAUAACACCUUUGAAGAGCACCGAAGUCCUUGUUAUGCCCUGUAACUUUCCCCAUGUGAUACAGGCAGUAAGAUAUGUUGCUGGUUAUGAUGUUGAAAGCAACUCGUAUAAAAUCCCAUCAUUGGCUUUGAAAUUGGGACACAGUUUAGCCAAAGUUGCAGGCAUUAUUCAAUGCAAUGCCAUCACUGCAAAUCGCCCUGCUGUUGCAGAGUCUGCAAAGCAAUUUGCCACUUUACAUCAGAAAAAGUGGACAGAGUCCAUUUCAGCUGCCGCAUUGGGUACACUUCAACAAGCCAAAUGGAAUAAACCACAGGUUUGACCCUUUAUAGAGGAUGUGUCGGUGCUGCACACGUUUCUUGCUACUGAGCGUGCUAAGUGUAUGAAGGACCUUGAGGAAGAACCCAACAGCAAAAGCUUUGGAAAUCUUCCUAAAGUGACUUUGAUGCAGGUAGUACUAUUUAACAGAAGGAGGGAAGGGGAAGUUUCAAAAUGGAGCUUCAGUCUUUCACAUCCAGGGAUCUUACGGAGCUGAAUCCAGACAUUGUGAGGGGCCUUACUGACUUCGAGAGGAAGCUUGCAGAGCACUUUGAGAGAGUUGAGAUUCGAGGUAAAAGGUCAAGAAAGGUUCCAGUGCUUCUAACCCCUGACAUGAUCACUGCUAUGGACCUCCUCAUGAUAAGCAGAAAAGAGUGUCAAGUCCACAAAGAAAAUGUGUACAUGUUUACACGGCCAGGUGUCCUUUCCCAUUACAGAGGCUCCGACUGCUUUCGCAAGUAUUCAAACAAUGUGGUGCAAAGAACCCAGAGGCACUCACCUCAACAAGAUUGCGGAAACAAGUCGCCACUUUGUCCACACUACUAAACCUCAAAGAAAAUGAAAUGGAUCAACUUGCCACCUUUCUAGGACAUGACAUCCGUGUCCAUAGAGAAUUCUAUCGGCUUCCAGAGAGUACCCUGCAGCUCGCAAAAGUCAGCAAACUGUUGAUAGCAAU